RNAcentral lists this transfer RNA (68 nucleotides) under Hormurus waigiensis (Australian rainforest scorpion). RNAcentral's name for it is "tRNA-Leu". Lineage: Eukaryota; Metazoa; Arthropoda; Arachnida; Scorpiones; Hormuridae. The record is from RNAcentral.
AUCAUUGUAGCAAAUUGAUAUGCGAUGAAUUUAAGCUUCANAGAUAGUUUUACUCUUUGAUAAUAUUA